Molecule: ribosomal RNA, 253 nt
Filed under: uncultured bacterium
Lineage: Bacteria
Description: partial 16S ribosomal RNA
Rfam family: Bacterial small subunit ribosomal RNA
Source: RNAcentral
UACGAAGGGGGCUAGCGUUGCUCGGAAUCACUGGGCGUAAAGCGCACGUAGGCGGUCUCUUAAGUUGGUGGUGAAAUCCUGGAGCUCAACUCCAGAACUGCCUUCGAUACUGAGAGUCUCGAGUCCGGGAGAGGUGAGUGGAACUGCGAGUGUAGAGGUGAAAUUCGUAGAUAUUCGCAAGAACACCAGUGGCGAAGGCGGCUCACUGGCCCGGUACUGACGCUGAGGUGCGAAAGCGUGGGGAGCAAACAGG